Molecule: long non-coding RNA, 624 nt
Filed under: Homo sapiens (human)
Lineage: Eukaryota; Metazoa; Chordata; Mammalia; Primates; Hominidae
Description: HSALNT0170906
Source: RNAcentral
AGAUCUCCUUGCAGCUCAGUCCCCAGGGCUUUUCCAACCUGCAGAGCUCUGGAUGUCUCUUUUGGGGCUCUCGCUCAGCCAGGGUUGGGGUGGAGGCUCUAUGGUUCCCUCCUGCCCUUGGGCUACUGGAAGGACAGUUACCUCACUCCAGAGAGCUAGUUCUGAGGGGCGAGGUGUUGCGGGGUUGAGCCAGCAGGGCAGGGAGUAGUGGGCACUGCGUUUGGCUGCCCAGGUGGGUUUGGGGCCUCUCCCUGGCCAGAAAUCCCUGAGUGCCAGGAGGAGGACAGACUCCCCAGCCUGGCACCCAUGGUGGAGGAGGGCCUUGCGGGUCAUUGCUGGCAGCUCCAUAGGGAGGGCGUGAGGCCCCUUCCUGAGCCUGGGUGUCUGCUCAGAGCCCAAGGCAGGGUGGGGUAGGGGUGCUUGUGCCUGGUAGGAAGCAGACAGCAGGCUGGUCCAGGGGUCCAGGACCCCAGGGAGGAGGCACUGCUGCGUGUCUGUGUGGGUGCAAGCAUGUGUCUUGGCCUGUGUCUCUGCAUGUCCGUGCUGUGAGUACGUCUUUGAACAUGUGUUCUCUGCACACCGUGUCUCUGUGAGUGUGAGUCUGUGUCCCUGCCUGGCUGUCUC